UGCCUAUGAUGAAAGAGAAUGCUAUUUGCGCUUGUGGAUGAGAAUUCGUGAUUUACACAGAAACUCUACUGCCUUCCUUCUGAGGCC
Molecule: small nucleolar RNA, 87 nt
Filed under: Eucalyptus grandis
Lineage: Eukaryota; Viridiplantae; Streptophyta; Magnoliopsida; Myrtales; Myrtaceae
Description: Small nucleolar RNA U83
Rfam family: Small nucleolar RNA U83
Source: Rfam by way of RNAcentral